AGUAGAGAUGGGGUUUCGCCAUGUUGGCCAGGCUGGUCUCAAACUCCUGACCUCAGGUGAUCCACCCACC
RNAcentral lists this microRNA precursor (70 nucleotides) under Rhinopithecus roxellana (golden snub-nosed monkey). RNAcentral's name for it is "miRNA (ENSRROG00000026807.1)". Lineage: Eukaryota; Metazoa; Chordata; Mammalia; Primates; Cercopithecidae. The record is from RNAcentral.